Transfer RNA from Bifidobacterium dentium Bd1, 74 nucleotides. It matches the Rfam family "tRNA". Rfam says of the family: Transfer RNA (tRNA) molecules are approximately 80 nucleotides in length. Their secondary structure includes four short double-helical elements and three loops (D, anti-codon, and T loops). The record is from Rfam. NCBI's taxonomy places the organism in Bacteria, Bacillati, Actinomycetota, Actinomycetes, Bifidobacteriales, Bifidobacteriaceae.
GGGCGAUUAGCUCAGUUGGUUAGAGCGCCACCUUUACACGGUGGAUGUCGGGGGUUCGAAUCCCUCAUCGCCCA